AACGCACAUUGCGCCUCUCGGUAUUCCGGGAGGCACGCCUGUUCGAGCGCCAUUACACACCCCAAGCUGUGCUUGAUGUUGGACGCUGUCUGUGAAAGGACAGGUCUGGAACGCGUGGGCGCCGCCGCCGGACCACGAGCGUAGCAAGACGCAAGUCAUUCGCUGUGUGGAAUCUGGUGGGCGGUGGCCGUUGUGGCGGGUAAGACCGACAUGAAGAACUUAUAUACAAAGUUUGGCCUCGGAUCAGGCGGGGAUACCCGCUGAACUUAA
Molecule: unclassified non-coding RNA, 270 nt
Filed under: uncultured Mycosisymbrium
Lineage: Eukaryota; Fungi; Ascomycota; Dothideomycetes; Venturiales
Description: partial contains 5.8S ribosomal RNA, internal transcribed spacer 2, and large subunit ribosomal RNA
Source: RNAcentral